GAUCAUGGCUCAGGACGAACGCUGGCGGCGUGCUUAACACAUGCAAGUCGAACGGGGCGCUUAUGAUGGAGAUUUCGGUCAACGGAUUAGGUUGCCUAGUGGCGGACGGGUGAGUAACGCGUGAGUAACCUGCCUUUCAGAGGGGGACAACAGUUGGAAACGACUGCUAAUACCGCAUAAUAUAUAUGGACCGCAUGAUCUGUAUAUCAAAGAUUUAUCGCUGAAAGAUGG
RNAcentral lists this ribosomal RNA (231 nucleotides) under uncultured bacterium. RNAcentral's name for it is "partial 16S ribosomal RNA". It matches the Rfam family "Bacterial small subunit ribosomal RNA", at positions 15 to 228 of the family's 1533-position model. The record is from RNAcentral.